This 939-nucleotide ribosomal RNA is filed under the name Alkalibacillus salilacus. RNAcentral's name for it is "bacterial SSU rRNA". It matches the Rfam family "Bacterial small subunit ribosomal RNA", at positions 500 to 1533 of the family's 1533-position model. The record is from RNAcentral. Lineage: Bacteria; Bacillati; Bacillota; Bacilli; Caryophanales; Bacillaceae.
AUAAUGUCACGCAGCGCGCGUUAUACGUAGGGGCAGCGUUGUCCGGGAUUAUUGGGCGUAAAGCGCGCGCCCAGGCGGUUCCUUAGUCUGAUGUGAAAGGCCCACAAGCUCAACUGUGGAGGGCCAAUGGAAACUGGGGAACUGAGGACAGAAAGAGGAGGAGCGGAAUUCCACGUGUAGCGGUGAAAUGCGUAGAUAUGUGGAGGAACACCAGUGGCGAAGGCGGCUCUCUGGUCUGUAACUGACGCUGAGGCGCGAAAGCAUGGGUAGCGAACAGGAUUAGAUACCCUGGUAGUCCAUGCCGUAAACGUUGAGUGCUAGGUGUUAGGGGGUCCAACCCUUAGUGCUGCAGUUAACGCAAUAAGCACUCCGCCUGGGGAGUACGGCCGCAAGGCUGAAACUCAAAGGAAUUGACGGGGGCCUGCACAAGCGGUGGAGCAUGUGGUUUAAUUCGACGCAACGCGAAGAACCUUACCAGGUCUUGACAUCUUCGGACAGCCCAAGAGAUUGGGUCUUCCCUUCGGGGACCGAAUGACAGGUGGUGCAUGGUUGUCGUCAGCUCGUGUCGUGAGAUGUUGGGUUAAGUCCCGUAACGAGCGCAACCCCUGAUCUUAGUUGCCAGCAUUGAGUUGGGCACUCUAGGAUGACUGCCGGUGACAAACCGGAGGAAGGCGGGGAUGACGUCAAAUCAUCAUGCCCCUUAUGACCUGGGCUACACACGUGCUACAAUGGAUGGUACAAAGGGAAGCCAAACCGCGAGGUCGAGCUAAUCCCAUAAAGCCAUUCUCAGUUCGGAUUGUAGGCUGCAACUCGCCUGCAUGAAGCCGGAAUCGCUAGUAAUCGCGGAUCAGAAUGCCGCGGUGAAUACGUUCCCAGGCCUUGUACACACUCGCCUUGUCAACGACCACGAGAGUUGGCUUUUCUACUCACUAAGCUCCG